RNAcentral lists this ribosomal RNA (261 nucleotides) under uncultured prokaryote. RNAcentral's name for it is "partial 16S ribosomal RNA". It matches the Rfam family "Bacterial small subunit ribosomal RNA", at positions 524 to 784 of the family's 1533-position model. The record is from RNAcentral.
UACGUAGGUGGCAAGCGUUAUCCGGAAUUAUUGGGCGUAAAGAGCGCGCAGGUGGUUGAUUAAGUCUGAUGUGAAAGCCCACGGCUUAACCGUGGAGGGUCAUUGGAAACUGGUCGACUUGAGUGCAGAAGAGGCAAGUGGAAUUCCAUGUGUAGCGGUGAAAUGCGUAGAGAUAUGGAGGAACACCAGUGGCGAAGGCGGCUUCCUGGUCUGUAACUGACACUGAGGCGCGAAAGCGUGGGGAGCAAACAGGAUUAGAUA